UUUCAGUGCCAAACCUAAAGUCUCUGUUUUAGCUCCAUAUCAACCCGGGUUCAAUUCAAUUUCUUUAACGCCUUUGUAUGUUGCGUUGAGAAAAGCUUCUGCUCAAUAUUCAAACUCCACUGUUAUGCUGAGGAUCUGCGUUGCGUUUGAUUCAACGCUGGUAAACAGGUGACAUACGGUCUUCAUCUGCAAGGUAACCAGGAGGUGCAGCUGAGGGGUGUGUUUAACACAUUAGGAGGGUCCUUCUGCCUGAAGACUGAUGGCAGUCCAACCUGUCAUUUUCACUGCCAACCCUCAUUAGACUCCUCCCAACGCAGUCUCAACCGCCAAUGGAUUUUCCAUCAGUAUCCAAAGAAGGGAAAGGAUGAAUUGAAAAGGAUGGCACAUGUCUCUAGUUGGGUGUGGUCUACCUUGUUGAGACACAUAUCUGGAAGCCUUACUGUAAUUACCAAGAAUGUUUUGAGACCCACUGGGGAUUUAGAGUACACAGGGUCUGACGUGCUGCAUAUAUGGAUUCACCUCACUGACAUUUAAUUGGUUGUUGCAUUUCUGGAGGGUGAUUAAGGACAAACAUUUGAUAGAGUUAUUUCUGUAUAUCUGGAUUAAAUGGACCCGUGGACUCGUCUGAACUACUGUUACACAAUAAGUUACACAUACCAUCAACCGAAAAAUGACUAACCUGGACUUAUCAACGGAAUUUCUUUAAAUUGCAUCAACAUGAACAUGCACCACUCUAACAGCUUCUGCUUUAAAUGACAAUUUCACAGUAGACAGUAGACUUAGGCCUGUUCACAUUAAGCUAAUUGAAACAUUGCAUGAGAUCCCACAGAAAUGAAACACCAUAUUGUAUUUGAGCAUGUGUUUGAAAUAAAAGUCCGAUGGGAACCAUUCAGUUCUCUUUGGGCUUAAUUGGGCCUCGCAUGAACAGAGAGGGCGGAUAAAGAGAUGCAGGGGGCCAGCAUCUGCACAAAUGAGCUCAAUAAAACACAGACAUCAUGUUUAGCACUAAAC
This is a long non-coding RNA of Clupea harengus (Atlantic herring), 1011 nucleotides long. The record is from Ensembl. NCBI's taxonomy places the organism in Eukaryota, Metazoa, Chordata, Actinopteri, Clupeiformes, Clupeidae.